This 513-nucleotide ribosomal RNA is filed under the name uncultured bacterium. RNAcentral describes it as "partial 16S ribosomal RNA". It matches the Rfam family "Bacterial small subunit ribosomal RNA", at positions 28 to 507 of the family's 1533-position model. The record is from RNAcentral.
GACGAACGCUGGCGGCGUGCUUAACACAUGCAAGUCGAACGAAAAGAGGGAAAGAGCUUGCUCUUUCCGGAAUUGAGUGGCAAACGGGUGAGUAACACGUAAACAACCUGCCUUCAGGAUGGGGACAACAGACGGAAACGACUGCUAAUACCGAAUAAGUUCCAAGAGCCGCAUGGCCCAUGGAAGAAAAGGUGGCCCCUACCUGUAAGCUAUCGCCUGAAGAGGGGUUUGCGUCUGAUUAGCUGGUUGGAGGGGUAACGGCCCACCAAGGCGACGAUCAGUAGCCGGUCUGAGAGGAUGAACGGCCACACUGGAACUGAGACACGGUCCAGACUCCUACGGGAGGCAGCAGUGGGGAAUCUUCCGCAAUGGGCGAAAGCCUGACGGAGCAACGCCGCGUGAGUGAUGACGGCCUUCGGGUUGUAAAACUCUGUGAUCCGGGACGAAAAGGCAGAGUGCGAAGAACAAACUGCAUUGACGGUACCGGAAAAGCAAGCCACGGCUAACUACGUG